GGAAGGAACUGGAGGGUAGGAGCUGAGGGAGUCCCAGCUAAAAACUCACGGAGAAUGGAGGAGAACGUUGUUUUUCCUUCCCACACAUGUCUCACACUCACGGCAGAAAGCAAGGAAGAAGGGAAGGGAAAAAUAACACUGGAGUAAGUGCUGUUGGAGAACCUUGUUCACAAGUUUCAAGAAGCCUGUCAGGCCCUGGAAUUAACCUGUUCCCAAAAGAGAUUGGUUGAACUAUGUCCCCAGAUAAACCCUCAGAUUCCCGAAUCUCCAUAUAUCACAUCCUCAACCGGUAGUGGUGUUUGAUCAUCUUCUCCAGAUAUACAAAAGAAUCACAGGAGAUCUGGCAAGAAGCUGCAACAUUUCCUACUAUGUCUGGUUUUCUUCUUGGUGUUGAUGAUGAGGCU
This 404-nucleotide long non-coding RNA is filed under the name Pan troglodytes (chimpanzee). Its description in RNAcentral is "long non-coding RNA NONPTRT013548". Lineage: Eukaryota; Metazoa; Chordata; Mammalia; Primates; Hominidae. The record is from RNAcentral.